UAGCUCAGACGGUAAAGCUUCUGCCUGCAAUGCAGGAGACCCGGGUUCAAUCCCUGG
Molecule: transfer RNA, 57 nt
Organism: Ovis aries (sheep)
Lineage: Eukaryota; Metazoa; Chordata; Mammalia; Artiodactyla; Bovidae
Rfam family: tRNA
About the family: Transfer RNA (tRNA) molecules are approximately 80 nucleotides in length. Their secondary structure includes four short double-helical elements and three loops (D, anti-codon, and T loops).
Source: Rfam